This 63-nucleotide transfer RNA is filed under the name Furcilarnaca wufengensis. Its description in RNAcentral is "tRNA-Cys". The record is from RNAcentral. Lineage: Eukaryota; Metazoa; Arthropoda; Insecta; Orthoptera; Gryllacrididae.
AAUCUUAUAUUCAAAAAAUGAUUUUAGACUGCAAUUCUAAAGGUGUAAAUAUUACUAAGGUUU